Small nucleolar RNA from Medicago truncatula (barrel medic), 107 nucleotides. It matches the Rfam family "Plant small nucleolar RNA R71". From Rfam's summary of the family: R71 is a member of the C/D box family of snoRNAs containing the C (UGAUGA) and D (CUGA) box motifs. Multiple nearly identical copies of this snoRNA have been identified in Arabidopsis, and it is thought to function as a 2'-O-ribose methylation guide for 18S ribosomal RNA. NCBI's taxonomy places the organism in Eukaryota, Viridiplantae, Streptophyta, Magnoliopsida, Fabales, Fabaceae. The record is from Rfam.
AAGUCAUGGGUUGGUCAUCUUUUUAGUAACAGUUUAAACCUCUCCCAAGCAUCAUAGAGAGAUUCACCGUCACCUUGCAUAAAAUUUGUGAGCUCAUGUCUUUUCUC